RNAcentral lists this ribosomal RNA (478 nucleotides) under uncultured bacterium. Its description in RNAcentral is "partial 16S ribosomal RNA". It matches the Rfam family "Bacterial small subunit ribosomal RNA", at positions 28 to 507 of the family's 1533-position model. The record is from RNAcentral.
GAUGAACGCUAGCGGCAGGCCUAACACAUGCAAGUCGAGGGAGAAGCCCUUUCGGGGGCAGAAACCGGCGCACGGGUGCGUAACGCGUAUGCAACCUACCUUUCACAGGGGGAUAGCCCGAAGAAAUUUGGAUUAAUACCCCAUAAUAUUGUUGGAUGGCAUCAUUUGGCAAUUAAAACUGCGGUGGUGAAAGAUGGGCAUGCGUCCUAUUAGCUAGUUGGAGUGGUAACGGCACCCCAAGGCUACGAUAGGUAGGGGUCCUGAGAGGGAGAUCCCCCACAGUGGUACUGAGACAGGGACCAGACUCCUACGGCAGGCAGCAGUGAGGAAUAAUGGUCAAUGGUCGGAAGACUGAACCAGCCAUGCCGCGUGAAGGAAGAAUGCCUUAUGGGUUGUAAACUGCUUUUAUAUGGGGAGAAUAGGGCGUACGUGUACGUUGAUGACGGUACCAGAUGAAUAAGCAUCGGCUAACUCCGUG